RNAcentral lists this ribosomal RNA (353 nucleotides) under Hyalomma dromedarii. RNAcentral's name for it is "partial 16S ribosomal RNA". The stretch from base 62 to 353 matches the Rfam family "Bacterial large subunit ribosomal RNA", at positions 2079 to 2619 of the family's 2925-position model. The record is from RNAcentral. Lineage: Eukaryota; Metazoa; Arthropoda; Arachnida; Ixodida; Ixodidae.
UUUUUUAAAAAUAAAAAUUAAAUUUUUUUUAAUUUGUGCAAAAACAAUUAUUUAUAUUAAAGACAAGAAGACCCUAUGAAUUUAUGAUUAAAUAAACUAAAAAUUUUUAGUUUAUUUAAUCUUGAUUGGGGCAAUCAAAAAAUAUUAAUAACUUUUUUAAAUUUAAAUGAUCUAUUAUUAAUAAUCUAAUGGAAUAAAUACUCUAGGGAUAACAGCGUAAUAAUUUUUGAUAGAUCUUAUAGACAAAAUAGUUUGCGACCUCGAUGUUGGAUUAGGAUUCUUUUUUAAUGAAGAUGUUAAAACAAGAAGUUUGUUCAACUUUUAAAUUCCUACUUGAUCUGAGUUCAGACCGG